CGGGGUGUGGCUCAGCUUGGCUAGAGCGCUUGAUUUGGGAUCAAGAGGUCGCAGGUUCGAAUCCUGUC
Molecule: transfer RNA, 68 nt
Filed under: Eubacterium sp. CAG:86
Lineage: Bacteria; Bacillati; Bacillota; Clostridia; Eubacteriales; Eubacteriaceae
Rfam family: tRNA
About the family: Transfer RNA (tRNA) molecules are approximately 80 nucleotides in length. Their secondary structure includes four short double-helical elements and three loops (D, anti-codon, and T loops).
Source: Rfam by way of RNAcentral